Molecule: non-coding RNA, 27 nt
Filed under: Mus musculus (house mouse)
Lineage: Eukaryota; Metazoa; Chordata; Mammalia; Rodentia; Muridae
Source: RNAcentral
UGCUAGGACCAAGCCAAGAGAAUGAUG